RNAcentral lists this long non-coding RNA (434 nucleotides) under Equus caballus (horse). RNAcentral describes it as "lncRNA (ENSECAG00000046043.1)". Lineage: Eukaryota; Metazoa; Chordata; Mammalia; Perissodactyla; Equidae. The record is from RNAcentral.
AGUGUUUAAGGACCCUGGGUGUUCCAGGCAGGGAGGUGGAAGCGGAGGUUGAAGUAAAACUGGAAUUGGAUUUGGCAGGCAUAAAUGACUGACUGCAUCAUGGAAUUAUCUACAGCUAUGUGACUUUGGGGACUUGCUUCCUUUCUCUGGGCCUCAGUUUCUCCUUCGACAAACCAGGAAUAAUUCCUAAGUUUCUUUCCAGGAUUGAACAGAUAAAUAAAUGUGGUGAUGUUGAUGGAAGCCAGAGUUUUCACUGUGAUAAAACGGAAUAUGGAAGGAGGGAAGACAAAGAAAACCUUACAGGGUUAGAUUGGAAUUGGAGAUAUCAGUAGGAACAGGUAUUUCCUGAGUCUGUUGAAAGUGCAAGACACAGUGACACCUCAGGAAUAACGAGCAUACUUAAAGCCUAGAUGUUGGUUUCUAAAUGUCAUUCU